Non-coding RNA from Microtus ochrogaster (prairie vole), 399 nucleotides. Lineage: Eukaryota; Metazoa; Chordata; Mammalia; Rodentia; Cricetidae. The record is from the annotation of a RefSeq genome assembly.
AUGGAGUCACAGACCCAAAUCUUCAUGUCCGUGCUGCUCUGGGUGUCUGGUGCCUGUGCAGAUAUCACAAUGACCCAGUCUCCAUCUUCCUUGGCUGUGUCAGUAGGAGAGAAGAUCACUAUCAGCUGCAGGGCCAGUCAGAGUCUUUACAACAGUAAUAACAAGAAGAACUACUUGAGCUGGUACCAGCAGAAACCAGGGCAGUCUCCUAAACUACUAAUCUACUUGGCAUCCACUCGGGAAACUGGGGUCCCUGAACGCUUCAUAGGCAGUGGAUCUGAGACAGAUUUCACUCUCACCAUCAGCAGUGUCCAGGCUGAAGACCUGGCAGAUUAUUACUGCCAGCAGGGGUACAGCUAUCCUCCCACUUUGGAUUCUGGGACUCAAAUUGAGGUUUGA